This 324-nucleotide ribosomal RNA is filed under the name uncultured eukaryote. RNAcentral describes it as "partial 18S ribosomal RNA". It matches the Rfam family "Eukaryotic small subunit ribosomal RNA", at positions 1470 to 1796 of the family's 1831-position model. The record is from RNAcentral.
CCCUUAGAUGUUCUGGGCCGCACGCGCGCUACACUGACGGAGUCAACGAGUUGUCCUGCAUCGGAAGGUGUGGGUAAUCUUUUGAAACUUCGUCGUGCUGGGGAUAGAUCUUUGCAAUUUUCGAUCUUGAACGAGGAAUUCCUAGUAAGCGUGAUUCAUCAGAUCGCGUUGAUUACGUCCCUGCCCUUUGUACACACCGCCCGUCGCUACUACCGAUUGAAUGGUUUAGUGAGGCCUCGGGACUGGCGCGCUCGAGUAGCAAUACACCUGUGCGCCGGGAACUUGGUCAAACUUGAUCAUUUAGAGGAAGUAAAAGUCGUAACA